RNAcentral lists this long non-coding RNA (345 nucleotides) under Elaeis guineensis (African oil palm). Its description in RNAcentral is "long non-coding RNA (EGUI_LNC036193)". The record is from RNAcentral. Lineage: Eukaryota; Viridiplantae; Streptophyta; Magnoliopsida; Arecales; Arecaceae.
GAUCAAAAAUCCAUCACGAGGAUCAUUUAAAUUCAUCAUCAUUCUUCUCAAAAUUUUAGAAAUCUUAGGAGAGAGAAAUAAUCUAGAGAGAGGAUUCUAGAGAGAGAAAGUAGAGAUAAAAAGUCCAAUUCUAGAGAGAGAAAAUACUAGUUCAGGCUGAAGGGAGAGAGAAAAGAGAGAGAAACUCUCUUUCUCAUAUUUUAUUAUUUAUCUCAUUAUUUAUUAAUUAAUUUUAUUUUUCUCUUUCUUCUUUUCUUUCUUUCUCUCUUUUUUUUUUCUUUUCUUCACGGAAGAGAGAGGAGAGAAAAAUCCUAUUUAUUAUUAUUAUAUUAUUAUUAUUUUAUU